AUGAACGCUGGCGGCGUGCCUAAUACAUGCAAGUCGAGCGAACAGAUGAGGAGCUUGCUCCUCUGACGUUAGCGGCGGACGGGUGAGUAACACGUGGAUAACCUACCUAUAAGACUGGGAUAACUUCGGGAAACCGGAGCUAAUAUCGGAUAAUAUAUUGAACCGCAUGGUUCAAUAGUGAAAGACGGUUUUGCUGUCACUUAUAGAUGGAUCCGCGCCGCAUUAGCUAGUUGGUAAGGUAACGGCUUACCAAGGCGACGAUGCGUAGCCGACCUGAGAGGGUGAUCGGCCACACUGGAACUGAGACACGGUCCAGACUCCUACGGGAGGCAGCAGUAGGGAAUCUUCCGCAAUGGGCGAAAGCCUGACGGAGCAACGCCGCGUGAGUGAUGAAGGUCUUCGGAUCGUAAAACUCUGUUAUUAGGGAAGAACAAAUGUGUAAGUAACUAUGCACGUCUUGACGGUACCUAAUCAGAAAGCCACGGCUAACUACGUG
RNAcentral lists this ribosomal RNA (496 nucleotides) under uncultured bacterium. RNAcentral's name for it is "partial 16S ribosomal RNA". It matches the Rfam family "Bacterial small subunit ribosomal RNA", at positions 29 to 507 of the family's 1533-position model. The record is from RNAcentral.